RNAcentral lists this ribosomal RNA (254 nucleotides) under uncultured bacterium. RNAcentral's name for it is "partial 16S ribosomal RNA". It matches the Rfam family "Bacterial small subunit ribosomal RNA", at positions 523 to 776 of the family's 1533-position model. The record is from RNAcentral.
UAACGUAGGGACCAAGCGUUGUUCGGAUUUACUGGGCGUAAAGGGCGCGUAGGCGGCUUAACAAGUCACUUGUGAAAUCUCCGGGCUUAACUCGGAACGGCCAAGUGAAACUGUCAAGCUAGAGUGCAGAAGGGGCAAUCGGAAUUCUUGGUGUAGCGGUGAAAUGCGUAGAUAUCAAGAGGAACACCUGAGGUGAAGACGGGUGGCUGGGCUGACACUGACGCUGAGGCGCGAAAGCCAGGGGAGCAAACAGG